This 499-nucleotide ribosomal RNA is filed under the name uncultured bacterium. RNAcentral describes it as "bacterial SSU rRNA". It matches the Rfam family "Bacterial small subunit ribosomal RNA", at positions 28 to 524 of the family's 1533-position model. The record is from RNAcentral.
GAUGAACGCUAGCGGCAGGCUUAACACAUGCAAGUCGAGGGGCAGCACAGGUGGCAACACCGGGUGGCGACCGGCGUAAGGGUGCGUAACACGUGAGCAACAUACCCGUAUCUGGAGGAUAACCGGAGGAAACUCUGCCUAAUACUCCAUAAUAUCAUCGUACGGCAUCGUUUGGUGAUUAAAGAUUUAUCGGACACGGAUUGGCUCGCGGGACAUUAGCUUGUUGGUGGGGUAACGGCUCACCAAGACCACGAUCAGUAGGGGAUCUGAGAGGAUUAACCCCCACACGGAUACUGAGACACGGAUCCGACUCCUACGGGAGGCAGCAGUAAGGAAUAUUGGACAAUGCCCGCAAGGGUGAUCCAGCCAUGCCGCGUGCAGGAAGAAGGCCCUAUGGGUCGUAAACUGCUUUUACACCGGAGAAAACCCCUUACGUGUAAGGGCUGAUAGUAUGGUGAGAAUAAGCAUCGGCUAACUUCGUGCCAGCAGCCGCGGUAAG